UCGGGUUGUAGAGCACUUUUGUCCGGAAAGAAAACCUUUGCCCUAAUACGGCGGGGGGAUGACGGUACCGGAAGAAUAAGCACCGGCUAACUACGUGCCAGCAGCGCGGUAAUCGUAGGGUGCAAGCGUUAAUCGGAAUUACUGGGCGUAAAGCGUGCGCAGGCGGUUCGUUAAGACAGAUGUGAAAUCCCCGGGCUUAACCUGGGAACUGCAUUUGUGACUGGCGGACUCGAGUAUGGCAGAGGGGGGUAGAAUUCCACGUGUAGCAGUGAAAUGCGUAGAGAUGUGGAGGAAUACCGAUGGCGAAGGCAGCCCCCUGGGCCAAUACUGACGCUCAUGCACGAAAGCGUGGGGAGCAAACAGGAUUAGAUACCCUGGUAGUCCACGCCCUAAACGAUGUCAACUGGUUGUCGGGCCUUCAUUGGCUUGGUAACGUAGCUAACGCGUGAAGUUGACCGCCUGGGGAGUACGGUCGCAAGAUUAAAACUCAAAGGAAUUGACGGGGACCCGCACAAGCGGUGGAUGAUGUGGAUUAAUUCGAUGCAACGCGAAAAACCUUACCUACCCUUGACAUGUACGGAACCUGGCUG
RNAcentral lists this ribosomal RNA (590 nucleotides) under uncultured Burkholderia sp. RNAcentral's name for it is "bacterial SSU rRNA". It matches the Rfam family "Bacterial small subunit ribosomal RNA", at positions 418 to 1003 of the family's 1533-position model. The record is from RNAcentral. Lineage: Bacteria; Pseudomonadati; Pseudomonadota; Betaproteobacteria; Burkholderiales; Burkholderiaceae.